GUUUCACAUACUCUGUAGAGCAAGGCACUUGAAGAGGCUGUUAGCUUCAGGAUUGUUUCUUGACACGGGUUGUUAUGCGAAACCAUAAGCUGGAUUCUCCCGUUCCAUCAAAACAGAUGUUGCCACCAUCCCAAGGACAAGUCUGGUGAAUCUACAUGGAAAUAACAUAUCUGCUGAGAUAAGGAGACCCAAACUGCACACAGGACUGCAGCAUCAUCUGCGUCUUCCUGAAAGAUGUCCAAUUCUCUAACCUACCUCCACACUUUGCUGCUUUGUCUACCUUAAGUUUUGAAUUGGACAAUGCUCAUUGACCACCUUUUGUUAGCCACAGGUAAUUCCGCUUUCUUGUUGGGUUCUGCUUU
Long non-coding RNA from Rhincodon typus (whale shark), 362 nucleotides. RefSeq lists it as uncharacterized. Lineage: Eukaryota; Metazoa; Chordata; Chondrichthyes; Orectolobiformes; Rhincodontidae. The transcript has 3 exons. The record is from RefSeq and is a predicted model, not a curated record.